RNAcentral lists this ribosomal RNA (253 nucleotides) under uncultured bacterium. RNAcentral describes it as "partial 16S ribosomal RNA". It matches the Rfam family "Bacterial small subunit ribosomal RNA", at positions 524 to 776 of the family's 1533-position model. The record is from RNAcentral.
UACGAGGGGGGCGAGCGUUGUUCGGAAUUAUUGGGCGUAAAGGGUGCGUAGGCGGCCUGACAAGUCUGAUGUGAAAUCCCUGGGCUCAACCCAGGGCCUGCAUCGGAAACUGUCGGGCUUGAGUAUGGGAGAGGUGAGUGGAAUUUCCGGUGUAGCGGUGAAAUGCGUAGAUAUCGGAAGGAACACCUGUGGCGAAAGCGGCUCACUGGACCAUUACUGACGCUGAUGCACGAAAGCUGGGGGAGCAAACAGG